Molecule: unclassified non-coding RNA, 257 nt
Filed under: air metagenome
Description: partial contains small subunit ribosomal RNA, internal transcribed spacer 1, and 5.8S ribosomal RNA
Rfam family: Eukaryotic small subunit ribosomal RNA (bases 1-46)
Source: RNAcentral
AAGUCGUAACAAGGUUUCCGUAGGUGAACCUGCGGAAGGAUCAUUAUCCAUCCAAAACCAGGUGCGGUUGCGGCCUCCAGGUGAAAACCUGGGUGGUUUCGCGCCGCAUUCCUGCACCCUUUCUUUACGAGCACCUUUGUUCUCCUUCGGCGGGGCAACCUGCCGCUGGAACUUAAUAAAACCUUUUUUGCAUCUAGCAUUACCUGUUCUGAUACAAAUAAUCGUUACAACUUUCAACAAUGGAUCUCUUGGCUCUG